RNAcentral lists this long non-coding RNA (311 nucleotides) under Elaeis guineensis (African oil palm). Its description in RNAcentral is "long non-coding RNA (EGUI_LNC074411)". The record is from RNAcentral. Lineage: Eukaryota; Viridiplantae; Streptophyta; Magnoliopsida; Arecales; Arecaceae.
AGCGCUAUCCGAAGUCCAUCACCGGCCGACCUCCUACCAGGCUUCCCAUAAAACCGGACUUCCCCGACGGACGAUCUUCGGAUGAGCUUCCACAUCAGAUAAAUCCCAGAUGGACUUCUCUAACGAUCGGACUUCCUCGGACUUCGCCAACAGAAAAUCUCCAUCCGAGCUCCUACAGCAGGUGACUCCCGCCUGAGAUGUCAGCGCCCGAAGCGUCCGACAACAGUAGAUUCGUCAGCAACCUCGGAACAUCCAAGCCUCUCCUAGAACGACGAUGUAAAGGGCCAUUCUGCUCCAUCAGGUAUCCCAGC